Molecule: ribosomal RNA, 482 nt
Filed under: uncultured Glomus
Lineage: Eukaryota; Fungi; Glomeromycota; Glomeromycetes; Glomerales; Glomeraceae
Description: SSU rRNA
Rfam family: Eukaryotic small subunit ribosomal RNA
Source: RNAcentral
AGCAGCCGCGGUAAUUCCAGCUCCAAUAGCGUAUAUUAAAGUUGUUGCAGUUAAAAAGCUCGUAGUUGAAUUUCGAGACCGGCUUACUGGUCGUGCUUUUGUGCGUACUGGUAUAAUCGGUUUCUCCUUUCUGACGAACUUUAAUGCCAUUAAUUUGGUGUUUUAGGGAAUCAGGACUGUUACUUUGAAAAAUUAGAGUGUUUAAAGCAGGCUCACGCUUGAAUACAUUAGCAUGGAAUAACGGAAUAGGACGUUUGAUUCUAUUUUGUUGGUUUCUAGGAUCGACGUAAUGAUUAAUAGGGAUAGUUGGGGGCAUUAGUAUUCAAUUGUCAGAGGUGAAAUUCUUGGAUUUAUUGAAGACUAACUACUGCGAAAGCAUUUGCCAAGGAUGUUUUCAUUAAUCAAGAACGAAAGUUAGGGGAUCGAAGACGAUCAGAUACCGUCGUAGUCUUAACCAUAAACUAUGCCGACUAGGGAUCGGA